UGUGGCACAUGCGCAGUUCCGUGUCUUCCCUUGGCCGCCCGUCCGUAAAGGCCGCCCCGCUCUGAUUUUUCCCAGAGCCAGUCUAAAGAUUGUGUUUGGGGAAAUGCAGUCUUCCUUCUCCCCCACUCAUGUUUCACUUCAGGAUGCAGCAAUGAGAUGUUAUUUUUUUUUAAGCCCUAAAGCAGGGUUUGCAAUCUGCCCUGUGUAGCCGACCGGCCGUGGGGUUGCCGGUCACCUACAGCCGCCCUGGGCCGGUGGUCGGUGCUGUGCACCCAGGCGGGCCGCCCGGAGCCGCCGGGCCCCUGGGCCCAGUGCCGGAGAAGCCCGAAGAGCGAGCAGGGUAAGGCUGACUGGUCAUGGACACCUUCCACUGGAAAGGUGCCCAAAUGCCAGCUCUUAUGAGCACAUGGGAAACUCAUAGAUCCUUCUGCACCAGAGGAUCUCCUUCCCACUAUGUGACUGCAGUGGAAGGGAAGCCCCAGCAUCUCCUGUCCUCCACCACAGCCUCUGGAUGUGACAUCCUUCCUUCCUUUGUCCAACGAGCCACUGUUAACUGACCUGGAAGUUGUGAGGGAGCUGUGAUGCGGGUCUGGCUGGGGCCCUUCACGCCGGUGAGGACAGGAUGACGGUUGGACAGCUUCCUGGAGCACAUAUGCCUAUGCCGAGACACCAGGUAGAGUUCUCGGGAGCCACAGCCUCCUUCCUCUGUCCUCUCCCUCUCUACACCCCCACGAUAGAGCAGAAAGGACAGGUUUGUCCCACAGGCUAACAGAAAAGUGCUGCUUGGCUUUCGGAGCCUUAGGAUAAAGUUGAAUAUUGUUCCCAGGAGGCAGUUCCAGACAAAAGACCUUCCCAUAUCUCUGGCCCUGAAUUGUCUGUUCUCUCCUCUACAACGGGGGGCGGCAGUUUUGUCUGAAGAGCCAAGUUUCUGGGUUAACUAAAACUUGAGCUUACCCAGAGCAUCACAUUCUGCUGUUCACUCAACAAACGUGUAUGAGCAUUAUUUACAUGCUAGUUUUCAGGGAACCUACAGCAAAGACAGUUCCUGCUCUCAAGUCACUGAGCACCAAGUACUCUGAUGGGGCUAUGCAUGUAUGGCUUGCAGGUGCAGGUCCGGGUCCCAGGGAAAAUAACUGUAGCCUUAAAGCAGGAGCUGAGUGCACAGAGAAGCAGAGGGGAGAGACGCAGAGCGGCAGGCAGAAGUGCAGGGGCCAGGCGGUGGCAGAAGCAGAUCGCGUUGCUGAGCGCCGAGCCUGCUGGAGGCCUCCCUGGGAACGGGGCAAGUAUUGCUUUAUUUGAUUCUUACAACUCUUUGGGAUCAGCACUGUGAUGAACCCCAUUUUACCGAGGCAGGGAAGUCAAGAAACUACUUGAACACAAUCACAGUUUGCACAGUAAGUGCUGAAGCCAGGCCUCAAACCAGGAGUGUGAGUGCCAGCAGCAGCCGUUCGCCCCUUGGCCACCUGGCUCUGGAGGCUGGUGAAAUGCUCUUUGGAGAAAGAGGACGAGAUGCGUGGGGAAGGGGACAGGAGACUAAUCGAGGCAGGUAGGCUCAGCAGGACGUGAAUGCAGUUUAUACACCACGUGGGGCACUUGGACUUUAUCUCAAGGUAACAGGAAUGCAAAUGACAGAUUUUGAGGAGGAAAGUGGUCUGCCUUGUAUGGCUAAUACUCUGCUAACUCGAGGAGGGGGAUGAUCCUGGAAUAAGGCUGCUGGAGAGGGCAUGAGGGCCAACCGGCCGGCCGUGCAGGAGGAGCCAGGACCGGGAGAUGAACGCUUCAACGGAGGAGGAAACAGGAGGGUCAGGAGGAGGGGUGGGUAUGGAGGGCCCUUCAGAAGUGGGGUUGAGGGGGUAUCGAAACUGAGUGAGGACAGGAGUCAGGGAGGACGUGCAGGCGGCUAGACUGCUGGGCUUCUUACUUUGGAGUGAGGACCGGGGAGAGGCAGACGGGAAAGGAAGACCUAGGAUGGGUGGAGGGGACGGCUUGUGGUGCUCAUGGUGCCCUGCAGGGGUGAGCAGGACAGGACCAUGCAGUGAGACCUUAGAGCCUGGGGUAGGGGGUGUCAUCUGGACGCAGGCACAGGACCACAGACAUGCAGGCUGACACAGGAGAAUGGAUGGGACAAGCAGAGGAGACUCCAGAAAUCAAAGCCUGGAGCUGGGCCGGAGGGACCAUGCAGCAUGCAAAAGGGCAGUGGAUGAGGGGGGAAGGAGGGGCACUGAGGGAGGAGCAGUGUGCAGGGGUGCUGCUUCCACAGCUGCGGGGCACAGAGCAGCUCAGCAAAGGGGCUGGGCAGUCCUGACGCGCCCAGAUAACUGGGGAGAGGCUCGUACACUUGGGAGGAAGAGACGGUUGUUGGCUCUGGAGAACACGGGCUGGGGGGUGGGCUUGGGCAGGGGAUCAGUGUGGGUUUAGGAGCAGGGGUGCAGGGAAACAGACAAAGACGGCUCUUAUCGCUCAACUGGCUCUGAUGGAAGGAGAGAGAACACAGCAUCCGG
Long non-coding RNA from Mustela erminea (ermine), 2501 nucleotides. RefSeq lists it as uncharacterized. The record is from RefSeq and is a predicted model, not a curated record. Lineage: Eukaryota; Metazoa; Chordata; Mammalia; Carnivora; Mustelidae. The transcript has 3 exons.